GUCUUUUCAGGGACAUCCGGUAAAAUUGGAACGAUACAGAGAAGAUUAGCAUGGCCCAUGCGCAAGGAUGACACGUAUAAAUCAAGAAAUGGUCCAAAUUUUU
RNAcentral lists this small nuclear RNA (103 nucleotides) under Brassica oleracea var. oleracea. Lineage: Eukaryota; Viridiplantae; Streptophyta; Magnoliopsida; Brassicales; Brassicaceae. The record is from RNAcentral.